AGAAAAUACCUACAGAAGAAAUAAACAAGUACAAGUGAGUUCAGCUACUAAUUACCAGCAGCUCAUGAAGCCUCUGUUCAUUUUUUUGUUUUUAAUCUUUUUGCAGUGUUUAAAGUCAACAUAUGCAUAGAGUAUUAACAGAUAAAAAAGGUAAGUUUUAGAAAGAACAAAACAAUUAAGUUUCUAAGCAUUUGCGGAUCUCAAGUAGUGGCCAGACUGUGUGGAAACUUUGUCCAUGCUAACAUUCCUUGGGCGUGGUGUCAAUUGUCAUAGUCUGUAGGAAAGCGGUGUGUCAUACAAUGAAUCAUACCCAAUCAACAUGGUAGUGCCAUUUCAUGGCCCUCGUCUUUGCAACCCUGGGAAACAUGGUGAGGAUAUAAGUUAUAGAAGAAUAGAAGUUUAUGAUAAAAGACACUUGUCACAUGAUGAGUUAGGGAAAGAUUGGAAAUGGGAAGGAAUUCUAUGAACUCUAAACCCUACGGGCAUGGAAUAAUAAGUAAGGAAAGGAUGUAACAAUAGUUUUGAUCCUACUGUACAUUGAUAAUCAUGUGAAAAGUGUUCCAUGUGUAAGAAUAAAUUGUAUCAGGGGACAGAUAUGAGGUUGUUGGGAACGUGGGCAGAUUAUUUAAAAUCAUACCCAAUAUUGGGCCUUAUCUGACAGAGCAAUUGUAACUCACAGGCAACAAAUUGAACAAACAUGGGAACAGCUGCAGCAGGCAGAGCUCACCUUUAGAUACCAGAUUGCAGUUCAUGAGAAGAAUGCUCAGGACAACGAGAUCAAGACUCAGAUGUGGGACAGGGAGAUGGCAGAGCAGGGCGGGGACAUUGCCUACUUGAAAUACAGG
Neofelis nebulosa (Clouded leopard) is the source of this 845-nucleotide long non-coding RNA. RefSeq lists it as uncharacterized. Lineage: Eukaryota; Metazoa; Chordata; Mammalia; Carnivora; Felidae. The record is from RefSeq and is a predicted model, not a curated record. The transcript is spliced from 3 exons.